GACCGUGCAAAGGUAGCGCAAUCACUUGUCUUUUAAAUGAAGACCCGUAUGAAUGGUUAAACGAGGGCCUAACUGUCUCCCUAUUCUAGUCAAUGAAAUUGAUCUGCCCGUGCAGAAGCGGACAUAAAUAUACAAGACGAGAAGACCCUUUGGAGCUUAAGAUAAAAGACCAAUUAUGUCAAUAACCCCUAUAGAGACUAAACUAAAUAACCACUGGUCCAAAUCUUCGGUUGGGGCGACCACGGGAAAAAACGAAACUCCCAUGUAGAAAGGGAAACACCCCUAAAACUAAGAGAGACAUCUCUAAGAAACAGAACUUCUGACUAUUAAGAUCCGGCCACAUGCCGACCAACGAACCAAGUUACCCAAGGGAUAACAGCGCAAUCCCCUUCCAGAGUCCAUAUCGACAAGGGGGUUUACGACCUCGAU
Molecule: ribosomal RNA, 429 nt
Filed under: Astroblepus onzagaensis
Lineage: Eukaryota; Metazoa; Chordata; Actinopteri; Siluriformes; Astroblepidae
Description: partial large subunit ribosomal RNA
Rfam family: Bacterial large subunit ribosomal RNA
Source: RNAcentral